AAAAUUUAUGUGUUAGACCAAUGUUAGGACAGCAUGGCUGUGGAGGGGUGAGUGAGUCCCUAGACAACGUAGUGAGUACAGUGCCUUCUUAUUUUCUCCCUUUUCCACCCAGGAUGGCAGAUGAACUCUACAGAGGCACCUCUGGGCUUGCACUGACUAAGGACAACAGCUAGAACAAAGAAAGAACUGGAGGCCGGGUGAGCAGGUUGCCUGGGAAACAGAACAAAGGACAGAAGAGGGACAAAGAACCUGGCUGAGCUGGGCUGUUGGAAGCAUGGAGUCUGCUGGUCUGGGGACUCGAUGGGAAAGCCCAGGGUCUGAGUUCUGGGUCUGCCCAAGAUGGACAUUGCUGAAUCUUCCUGCCUCCUGUGCUAACACAGAACUUUCGCAGGCUGGAUUCCAGACCACUAAUAAACCUUCUGUUUUACAACGCUG
Long non-coding RNA from Gopherus flavomarginatus (Mexican gopher tortoise), 435 nucleotides. RefSeq lists it as uncharacterized. Lineage: Eukaryota; Metazoa; Chordata; Testudines; Testudinidae. The record is from RefSeq and is a predicted model, not a curated record. The transcript is spliced from 2 exons.